Molecule: ribosomal RNA, 367 nt
Filed under: uncultured eukaryote
Lineage: Eukaryota
Description: SSU rRNA
Rfam family: Eukaryotic small subunit ribosomal RNA
Source: RNAcentral
AGCUCCAAUAGCGUAUAUUAAAGUUGUUGCGGUUAAAAAGCUCGUAGUUGGGUUUCUGCCGAGGAUGGCCGGUCCAACCUUUGGUUGUGCAUCUGGUUCGUUUGAGGCAUCUUUCCGAGGAACGCUUCUGCACUUGAUUGUGUGGAGCGGUAUUCGGUCCUUUUACUUUGAGGAAAUUAGAGUGUUCAAAGCAGGCUUUCGCCUUGAAUACAUUAGCAUGGAAUAAUAAGAUAGGACUCUGGUUCUUUUUUGUUGGUUUCUAGAGCUAGGGUAAUGAUUAAUAGGGACAGUUGGGGGCAUUCGUAUUUAACUGUCAGAGGUGAAAUUCUUGGAUUUGUUAAAGACGAACUACUGCGAAAGCAAUUUG